UCGGUAUAUACCGUGGAACCAUGUUCACGGGUGACAGCUAUGAGAGAAAGAGUUUGUAAAUGCUUGUAAAGUGUUUUUAUAAAAUAGAUUUAUUAAUGAAACAGUCUGUUGAUUGGAAGGGGAAACGGGUAUUAGGACUAUACAGUUUUAAAAGACUCUUCCCUUAAGAAAAUUUGCAGUUGUGGACUUUCCUUAAAUGACUCUUCUUUAGAUCAAUUGUUUUCACCAGUUCUAGAUUGAUUCUGCAAUAAUCAACUUCACAUCCAUAAAGCCAUGAGUGUAGAUGAAGUAAAAAAUUUAUUACUAAAAAAAUUGAUAUUUUAGGUUAUUGAUUGCAGAGUCAGAGACCAAUGUGUGGAAUCUGAAAUUCUCUCUCACGAAACCCCAGCUAUCCUUCUGAUUCAACAAGGGUAUAAAGCAAUUAUAAUUUCAGGAGGUCCCAACUCAGUUCACGCAGUGGAUGCCCCACUAUACGACCCAGCAAUCUUUACUGGCAGUCUUUCAGUGCCGGAAAUUUGUUAUGCAUGCAAAUACUCAACAAGGAAUUAGGUGGAACGGUGAAGAGAAAAGAUGUUUGCGAAGAUGGGCAAUUCGAGAUCCAAAUAGAAAAGGAGUGUCCAUUGUUUAAAGGCUAAGAGACUCGGCAAAUUGUGUUACUGACCCGUGGUGACAGCGUAGAGAAGGUUGCAAAGGGGUUGCGUUGCGUCGCAAAAUCUUCACGUCAUAUUAUUUCCGCUAUUGCUGAUACUCCGUCUUUACGUAGUCCAGUUCCAUGAUUUGACUGAAAACGGACGAAAAAUGUGACAUAACUUCUUGUUCGACAUCUGUGGAUUGUAAGGACGUUUCACAUUGGAAGAACGCGAGCAGCUGUGUAUCGAUUACAUUCGGCGUACGGUUGAACGUGAUAAGAUCGUGCUCAUGUUGGUAAGAGGCGGAGUCGAUUCCGCCGUUUGUGCUGCCCUUCUCCACAAAGCACUUCUACAGGGUGAUGACUCGUCGCGAGUGCAGGCCAUCCAUAUCGACAACGGUUUUCUGCGUAAAGAUGAAUCCGAGCAGGUCGUCAAUAGUUUACAGCAACUCGGGCUCAAUCUUCGGUUAAUUUUUCUGGACCGUUCAGAAUAUUAUGAUUGGCCAAAAUGUGAUACGAGAUUAAUUGGUGCGUUGUCGUGUCACAUCUCAAUUUCUACGGUUUACAAUACUUGUUCUAUGACCGAGUUCUUUUACAGACAGGGGCUUCUUAUAUUUUCUUCUUACCGGCGAUUAGAUUUGAUGUUUCGAAUUGUUUUAGGUUGUUAAAGCAAGUUUGACUUUCUACGAUGCUUCCACCAACGUGCAUGGUAUCCAAACUUUGUCGUUGUGUCGGACUGUUAAUCCCUAAGAAAUACGUGGAAUUAUUGGCGAUAUGUUUGUUAAAGUGGCAGAUAGAACGGCUAACGAUUUAAAUCUCACUUGGUAUAAUCUAUUUCUCGGACAAGGUACUUUGAUGCCGGAUUUAAUUGAGUCCUCUUCGCAUAUGGCUUCUUCGCUCGCUGAUGCUGUAAAGAUUUAUCAUAAUGAUUCCGAAAUGGUUCGUCAGUUGCGCCUUCCCGGUCGUAUUGUAGAACCUCUUUAAGUAAGGGAAUUAUGUCGCGAGCUGGGUCUGCUCGCAGAAUUAGAGGUCAUCCGUCAUUUAACGUCAUCCGUUUCCUGGUCCCGGUUUGUUAAUUCGAAUUAGUUGCGCUGAAGAACCGUUCAUGGAAGUUGAUUUCGGUGAGACGCAAGUGCUGAUACGGAGGAUGUUCGAUUAUGCGAACAUGGCAACCAAGGAACAUGCCUUGCUCAAUCGGAUUGAAAUCACGAGGUCGGAAGAAGAGCGUCUUCUUCUGGAAGAACUGUCCCGUCACAACCAGUAUGUUGCCACGCUACUGCCUAGUCGCACUGUAGGUGUUCAGGAUGAUUGCCGAACUUAUAGCUAUCGCGUAGCACUGAGCUCUGAUCAGACACAACCAAACUGGAAUGAUUUAGCCACCUACGCCCGCUUAAUACCGCGUGUGUUCCAUAAUUUCAACCGUGUUUGCUACGUAUUCGGAAAGGCUGUGCGUGAAUCGGUGACAGACGUUACACCUACCUUCUUGACGAGUAACAUUUUGGCGACUUCAAGGAAAGCCGAUUAUUUGGCAAAUAAAAUAUUUCGGGAUUCGUUUUCUCCAAGAGGUUGGAGACAAGAUGGUUGAAGCCGUUUUAACUGUUCUAGGGUCUUGUAUGACCUGACAGCGAAACUAACCGCAAAAACGGAGUGGGAAGGAUUUGAUUUACGAACGUUGCUUAGGCAAAUUAUCUCCGCACUCUUUAUAGCACACGGAUACAGAGUUGUAUCAUUGACCAGAUUCAGUUGGGAAAUAUUAUGAACAGAAUGGAAUAUCUUCAUAUACUUUUGAAAUGGAAAAAUCAAUCAGCUUUGUCGUUUCGUGAAAAUCUCUUAAAAUGGCUUUAUAAGAGGAGUUCACGUGAUGACUUAUUGACAAUUCCCUAAAUAUACAUGCACACUUGUGGAAAAGAAUGGGUGCAUUUGUUUUUCGUCGAACUAGGUGGGUUGUUGUUCCUCUCCCUUGUAAAACUACCAUUUUAGCCUAAACUAAUAACUAUCAUUGAGCCUUGCGCAGUCUAGCUGCAUCCAGCCAGAUACGAGUAGAACCCGAAACAUUGUUUAGACGAAUACUGUCAAAUUUCGGUUGCAUGUUUUCACUAGAUACCAAAAUGAGCUUCCAAUUUGAAGUUGUGAGUGAUUUAUCGGAUUAUGGAUUCCUACUUUGAAAAUCAAAUUAUUUCCUUCUAAAAAUGGAUUUUGAAGUAUCGUACAUGUGGUAUUAUGUACUUGAUGAUAUCUUCGCGAAGCCUUUAAUUGACGUUUUACUAAAAAAUUCCCAUGGAAGGAAGUUCUUUCAGGAUCUGUUAUCGACCGUCUAUGUUAUGCAGUAAUUGGAUCUGCAGUUUAGUUAGAAACUUAGAAAUGUGCUCAGCAUAGAAUUUAUAUGAAAAAUGAUAUUUGAUUGGAAAAAGUUCCUGGUUGAGACAAGAGAUCAAAAAAAUGAUACUGUUUAGAAGGACGACCGGCAAUUUCAAGAUUCAUUUAUUUCCUUCCACUAUUUUUAUAUAUUUUUUAAAUUGAAUUGCAUAUCUGGGCUCCCUUCUUUUCUGUGGCCCCGUUUCCCCUUGACUUGUGAUAAGCCCGUAGGGGGUCAUGCCCCUACUGU
Molecule: long non-coding RNA, 3233 nt
Filed under: Daphnia magna
Lineage: Eukaryota; Metazoa; Arthropoda; Branchiopoda; Diplostraca; Daphniidae
Description: uncharacterized LOC116932226, transcript variant X9
Source: RNAcentral